RNAcentral lists this ribosomal RNA (163 nucleotides) under Candidatus Phocaeicola faecipullorum. RNAcentral describes it as "partial 23S ribosomal RNA". It matches the Rfam family "Bacterial large subunit ribosomal RNA", at positions 2747 to 2925 of the family's 2925-position model. The record is from RNAcentral. Lineage: Bacteria; Pseudomonadati; Bacteroidota; Bacteroidia; Bacteroidales; Bacteroidaceae.
AUCUAAGUCUGGAUCGGAUAAGUACUGAAAGCAUCUAAGUACGAAGCCGGCCACAAGAUUAGAUUUCUUUAGGGUCGUCAAAGACUAUGACGUUGAUAGGAUGCAGGUGUAAAGCUGGAGACAGCAAAGCCGAGCAUUACUAAUUGCCCGUCAACUUUUGUUG